UGAAGGAAGAAGCAUGGUAAUAUGCACAAAAAUUGAAUUGGGUCUCUAAGCUUGCCCUCUCUAAUACCAUUUGGCUUUGAUUUGGUUUGGCAACAAAACAUGUAC
Rhododendron vialii is the source of this 105-nucleotide small nucleolar RNA. RefSeq annotates it as small nucleolar RNA snoR100. NCBI's taxonomy places the organism in Eukaryota, Viridiplantae, Streptophyta, Magnoliopsida, Ericales, Ericaceae. The record is from RefSeq and is a predicted model, not a curated record. The transcript has a single exon.